RNAcentral lists this long non-coding RNA (290 nucleotides) under Rattus norvegicus (Norway rat). Its description in RNAcentral is "long non-coding RNA NONRATT019871". Lineage: Eukaryota; Metazoa; Chordata; Mammalia; Rodentia; Muridae. The record is from RNAcentral.
AGCAGGCAUCCAGUCAGGAGUGGUGUCCAGGCCCUGUGGAGCCUAGCAGUGCACGCAGCUGCAGGGGAGAGGUGGAGGAUGGCUGCCAUGGUGCUGACUGAACCACAAAACCCUUCUGUUCUUCACCCAGAACUCAAGCAGCUACUUCUGUGGCUUUCUCAGAGAAAGUAAGCGUCUGCAUCCAUUGUCCACUUCUAUGAGUGUGUGGUGGCCGGUGGCUGGGAAGGAGAUAUGCAGCUGUAUCUUGUCAUUGUCAACCUACAUUAAAACAAAGCAGAUGUUGAUCUUAA